RNAcentral lists this long non-coding RNA (736 nucleotides) under Chloebia gouldiae (Gouldian finch). RNAcentral describes it as "Erythrura gouldiae (Gouldian finch) lncRNA (ENSEGOG00005002729.1)". Lineage: Eukaryota; Metazoa; Chordata; Aves; Passeriformes; Passeridae. The record is from RNAcentral.
UAAACUGACUCAUCCUAAGAUGGUAGCUUUAUGGAGAUGGAAGCUGGAAAUUUUUUACCAUCAUCAAGACAGAUUUGAUUUGCCUCACUGAAUAACUGGAGUGAAAGAUGUAAAAAGUAAAAAAAGGUCUAAUUCUAGUGUGAUUGUGAAGUCAUGAUUCCCCCUCAGAGCCAUUCCCCACGGAUGAAGGUAAAGAGAAUCUACCCUUGUGGCCUGGCUUUAUGAUUUCUGGUCUUCACAGUGGACAAAGAUAAUGCACAAAUAUUGCUGAGACAUGGUGUAAAAUGUAUUCAGCAAAAUAAAACUGACCUCUUCUGUUGCAGCUUUUAUAUUCAUCACAUUCCCCAAAAAAACCAAAGAAAAGCUACUCUUCUGCUUUUAAUUUGAGUUUUCUUCAACACGAAUUUUAAGCUGUUUGAAAACUGUUUGAGUUCAUUGAAAAGCAUUCUACCAACUGAGACUAUGUAGAGAUACUAGAUUAUUAUCUUUUGAUGUACAAAUGAGAGAUACUAAUUUGUCUGUGUUUGUUGUUGUUUUCUUGGAUUUUGUUCUGGUAGGGUGAGCAAGGAGAUGUGGGAGAAACAGGUUACUCAGGAGAAACUGGUCUUCCAGGCCCACAGGGCCCAAGAGGACCACAAGGGAUCAGAGGACCUCCUGGACCACAAGGCAUGCCAGGCCCUCUGGGUAGUCUGGGGGCACCUGGUUCACCUGGCUCUGCUGGAAAAUUAGGUGUAAG